GGAAUAUUGGACAAUGGGCGAAAGCCUGAUCCAGCCAUGCCGCGUGAGUGAUGAAGGCCCUAGGGUUGUAAAGCUCUUUCAACGGUGAAGAUAAUGACGGUAGCCGUAGAAGAAGCCCCGGCUAACUUCGUGCCAGCAGCCGCGGUAAUACGAAGGGGGCUAGCGUUGUUCGGAAUUACUGGGCGUAAAGCGCACGUAGGCGGAUUGAUCAGUUGGGGGUGAAAUCCCAGGGCUCAACCCUGGAACUGCCUUCAAUACUGUCUGUCUAGAGGUCGAGAGAGGUGAGUGGAAUUCCGAGUGUAGAGGUGAAAUUCGUAGAUAUUCGGAGGAACACCAGUGGCGAAGGCGGCUCACUGGCUCGAUACUGACGCUGAGGUGCGAAAGCGUGGGGAGCAAACAGGAUUAGAAACCCGAGUAGUCC
RNAcentral lists this ribosomal RNA (421 nucleotides) under uncultured bacterium. Its description in RNAcentral is "bacterial SSU rRNA". It matches the Rfam family "Bacterial small subunit ribosomal RNA", at positions 358 to 796 of the family's 1533-position model. The record is from RNAcentral.